This 1353-nucleotide long non-coding RNA is filed under the name Panax ginseng (ginseng). RNAcentral describes it as "long non-coding RNA (PGIN_LNC000809)". Lineage: Eukaryota; Viridiplantae; Streptophyta; Magnoliopsida; Apiales; Araliaceae. The record is from RNAcentral.
GACACACAGGCAAUGAAAUCAACUAGUAGUAAUCAACUUUGUUGCAUUACAAUCAAUUCAUUACAUUUAAAAUAUGGACUUCACACAACCUAACUAGUACUAAUCAACUUUCCAUCUCCCAAAUUCUAAUUACAAAUUUCUCGGAUUUAAGCAACUUCUUGCACAGAAAUGGUUCCAAAGAAAUUCCAAAGUAGCAAAAUUAAGAAAACUCAUAUUAUUAUCUUGUAAAUCCUAUGUUGCGUCUAACAUUUUGCGCUUCAUUUUCAAGAGUCUUCAACUUCCUCAACAAACUAGGAAUCACUUGAAUAGCUCUCGGCUGCAUCGGAGGAUUAUACCACAUGAAAUACCCGCAACCAUGAGGCUGUCAAAAAAGAAUUUUUUUGAGAACAAACUUCAUAUUAAAGGAAAUUGAAUAUAAAUUACUUACUCUUGCAGUUUGACAUCCAUAGAAUCGACGACCAUGAUUCAAAUCAGUCCAAUAAGUUAUUAACAUAGCCGGGCGAUGACAAUGACAGUGGUUAACUGCGGCCAUUUAAGUUGACUCUUUCCGGUGUUGGGAUGUGGUGCAUGCAACAUAAUCAAAAUAAAUCAAAUGAACAAACAAAAGAAUACACACAGGGGCAUAACAGUUAUAGUUCAUAGACUCCAGAACCAAAAACAGACUAAUACGAAACUAAACAAAAGAUGUUCUUUUAACAGCUACAAAACUAACCAAUAACAGUACCUAGAAAAGUUAAUUUAACAAAAGAUUUGUAAAUUGCAUUAAUCUUGUCAUGUCAUCAUACUAAAAGUACCUAGAAAAAUUAAUGAAAAUUAUAGAAAAUAACUUAACAAUUAUAUAGUGUUUACAAUUCUUAAUCAACACAGAAACAUAAUAUGCGAAGGUAUACAUGUAAUCAAUAACUCAAAUCCAAUUGAACAAUGUAAUACUACUACUUAAAGAAUAUUCAACUCAUCAUUAUGUCUUCUAACACAAAUAUUAAAAGACUGUUAACAGGUUCUUCCUUCAAACCUUCGAAAGGGACAACUCUCAAGACUGUUAACAGGUAAAUUAGGUAUAAUAAAUUGUAAAAGUACCAAAUUUCAAGCCCUUACCGAUUCGAACUGAUUAGAUGAAGGAAAUCAAUUUUAUAAGGCUUUCUCUCUUGGAGCAAUAUCGCGUUUCUAGGGCUUCGUUCCCUCAGUUGCAUCAAUCGCGAUGGAGAAAGGGUUUCGUUCUCUCAGUUGAAGGGCUUCGCGAUGGAGAAGGGCUUCGAUUUUAUGAAGGAACUCAGCAAUCCCGUUGAGGGCUCUUGAAAUCGAUUUUGGCACGCGCUAGAGCUAAGUCUUCGUGAGUGAGGAAAGAGAUAUAAA